This is an RNA transcript of Odobenus rosmarus divergens (Pacific walrus), 1169 nucleotides long. It is a transcript of the gene named calmodulin-like, with no coding region annotated. The record is from RefSeq and is a predicted model, not a curated record. The transcript has 4 exons. NCBI's taxonomy places the organism in Eukaryota, Metazoa, Chordata, Mammalia, Carnivora, Odobenidae.
AUGCUCUCUGCCUAUGUCAGGCCACAGCCUUACAAUGACUCCAUCUUGGCCGAUCAGCUGACUCAAGAACAGAUUGCUGAAUUCAAGGAAGCUUUCUCCCUAUUUGACAAAGAUGGAGAUGGCACCAUCACAACAAAGGAACUUGGAACUGCCAUGAGGUCACUGGGUCAGAACCCAACAGAAGCCGAAUUGUAGGAUCUGAUCAACAAGGUGGAUGCCAACGGUAAUGGCACCACUGACUUCCCAGAAUUUUUGACUAUGAUGGCUAGAAAAAUGAAAGAUACAGACAGCAAAGAAGAAAUUCACGAGGCAUUCCGAGUCUUUGACAAGGAUGGCAAUGGUUACAUCAGUGCGGCGGAGCUACAUCAUGUCAUGACCAACUAAGGAGAAAAACUAAGAGAUGAAGAAGUAGAUGAAGUGAUCAGAGAAGCAAAUAUUGAUGGAGAUGGGCAAGUCAACUAUGAAGAAUUUGUACAGAUGAUGAGUGCAAAAUGAAGGCCUACUUUUAACUUUUCCCCCUUCUAGAAGAAUCAAAUUGAAUCUUUUACUUAACCUCUUGCAAAAAAAAAAAAAAAAGCAAGCUCAUUUACUCAUUUUGUUUCUAUAUAGCAAAACUGAAUGUCAAAAGUACCUCCUGUCCACACACACAAAAUCUGCAUGUAUUGGUUGGUGGUCCUGUCCCCUAAAGAUCAAGCUACACAUCAGUUUUACGAUAUAAAUACUUGUACAACCUUAAUGAUAAGGAAGCACCUAGUGGACUCCUUGCAUUUCCAUUUGCUCAUGAUUAAUACACUGUUUGGGCUGGCCAGUUUUUCAUGCAUGCAGCUUGACAACUGAACACAGUCAGGCAUUUGUAUUAAAAACUAAAAAUGAAAAAACAAAUCUAAAACUUCUUCAAAUAGAUUCUAGUUCAAUUUGUUACUAUAAAUUGUCAUAGCUGAUUUACUGAAAACAAAACAUUUAAAAUUGGCUUACCUCAAGAUGCUGUGCAGAAAAAUGGGUGAAGGAUAAACUAUCUAGACGCAGCCCCACUUAGCAGGACGGCCCUCUCAUACUUACAGGCACCCCCACCCAUGGUGACCAUGACACUCAUCCCAGUGGCAUGCCAUGUGUGUUGGUUUAGCAUUGUCCUAGAGUGAAAUGGGUGUCAGGCUGUCACCAUUCACACA